Apodemus sylvaticus (European woodmouse) is the source of this 2236-nucleotide long non-coding RNA. RefSeq lists it as uncharacterized. The transcript has 2 exons. NCBI's taxonomy places the organism in Eukaryota, Metazoa, Chordata, Mammalia, Rodentia, Muridae. The record is from RefSeq and is a predicted model, not a curated record.
UGAAGAUGUAGAACUCUCAGCUCCUCCUGUACCAUGCCUGCCUGGAUGCUGCCAUCUCCCCACCUUGAUGAUACUGGACUGAACCUCUAAACCUAGUCUCUCACUCAACCCAGAGCUCACCAGUCCAGCAUGCAUCGAUUCUCUCAGCUCCCAACUACGGAUGUGACUAGCUGCCUCAGGUUCCUGCUGUCCUGACUUCUCUCUACCCUGGAACUGGAGGUUUCUUCUUUGAAGUUGCCUCUGGCAGGGCAACUCAUCACUGCAACGGGAAAGAAACCAGGACAGCUGGGUAUCUGGCUGCAGAAGUGAAAACACGCACCUGUCUCGAGGCCUCAGGACCAGUGAUAGCUCUGCCAGCCUGCAGGUGCGGCUUCUUGGCUUGCUUCACGGGCGAUGAACUCCUUUCCCCCUGAAAUCGUUAUUAUUAUUACUAUUAUUGUUUACGAGAGCCAUCCUGCCAGGAGAAACAACUGCAAGAAGAGAACUGGAUUUCCCAGUUCCAGAGGCUGGGCGUCGGCAGAAUCCAAGGUGAGGCUGGUUCCUGCUGUGGCGGCUCUGUGUCCGAGGCUGCCUUUUCCCACUGCGGGCUCCUGGCUUUUCCCUCUGGGAUGUCCUUGGUGUCCCUACUCUCAAGUACACCGGUCACACCGGACCACUGUCUAUUUUUGUGAUCUCAUCUUAACUUGGUGAUCCCUUACAAUCAUGUUGAGGAGUCCUGCGGGGUUGGGGCUUCAAUGUGUGGGUGGCGGCAGUGGGGCGGGGCAUACUCUAGGUGGAGCAGCCUGCUUGACUUCUGUUGGUGGAAAUACUGGCUACGCAGGGGAGCAGGGGCCCAGGUGCAGCCAUCAAAGGAAGGGUGGUAGGGAGAGAGACAGAGAAGCAGACAUCGGACGAUUGGGUAAGAUGGCCUCGUGCUGGGACUGAGCAUGGAGAAGGCACUGGAGGUUUCAAGAGCCAUUUUGACUGGGACUGUCAUCUCCAGGGACAAGUUGUGGUCAGUGAAGCUGAAGAAGGGGCUUUGUCAGAGGCAGCACCAGUAAAGCAGCCUCCCUGGUGAUGGUGACUGCUCAGGCCCAGGCCCUGGCCCCUGGUUAGGGAUUGCUGAGGUGAAACAGCGUUAGUGUCAGUGUGCAGGCAUGUCAGAGCUGCAUGGGGUGGGGUGGGGAUGGAUAUCUGUUGUCCAGUGACUGCUGGCCUUCAAGCUGUGGCACUGUAGAGCCACAGCUCUAGGAAUCCACGGCUACAUGCACGUAGAGACGGCGAGUCUGGCUUCGGUCUCUUCACAUACAGAGACGUCUUCAUUCCUCAGCUAAUAAAGCACCAGUGGCCUGAUGCAUGCGGGCCAGGAGCAAGGCUGCAGUAGAGCCUGCUUUCCUUUGGUCUCUCCGCCAGGGUCAUCCUCUGAAGCAGACACACAGCCUGAUAAACUCAGCUUUAGGAAGGCACAAUGGGCUGGCCCGGUGGCCCCUAGCUGAGGUAUCAGGGAUUCUGGGGUAGUAAGGGCAGAUGCUAAGCUGAAUCUGCAGGCGCAAGGAGUUCUGGAGAAUAAGGAUGGAGGAAUGGGGAAACCCCCAGCUCGUUCCAAAUCCCCCAUAGGGCCCCAAGGCUGCCGAUUCUCCUUCCUGAACAAUCUGUCAAAGGCUUUGCAGCUCCAGAGGAGGUCACAGGGCUCAGAAAACAGCAGUGAAGAGGAAGAAGGGGCUAGCCUGGGGUAGAGGGGAGAGCUCUGGUGGGGACAAGUCUCCUGUUGAGUUUUCAAACUGCCUCUGGAGGCUUCCUUGAAAUCCUCCCCAGGGGGAGGGAAGUAUGAUGGAGAACAGGACCUGCUCUUUGCCAGCUGCCCAGCUCCAGGGACGCCAGCAAGGCUUUGCCUAAGGAAGAAGUUCUGCAGGAGGAAGAUGGAGAUGACAAGUCUACGGAUGGGCUCUUUGUCCUCUGCGUGCCUUCUUAGACCUGGACAACCCUGAGAAGCAGGGAGAGAACUGUGGGAUGUGGCUGUCUGGGCGGCAUUAACUCUCUAAACUGGAUGAACACUGUGAAAAGGUUGCACUGUGGUUCAAGCUCUUGGGCAUCAGACACAAGUCAACAAAGUCAUCCUGCCCCACACUGGCAGCCAUCCUGUAGACGCCACACUCACACAGUGCUGACUUUGGAAAGACACACUUGGGUGCCCUUUUUGCCAAAUAAGUCAGUUUCUGUAUGAGUAUAUAAACACAUAUAAAUAUGUACAUAUCUA